Macrobrachium nipponense is the source of this 407-nucleotide long non-coding RNA. RefSeq lists it as uncharacterized. Lineage: Eukaryota; Metazoa; Arthropoda; Malacostraca; Decapoda; Palaemonidae. The record is from RefSeq and is a predicted model, not a curated record. The transcript is spliced from 3 exons.
UUAGUCGUUGUUUGAAAGACCUGUGAACAAGAAAAAGAAAUCGUUGUUUCGAUAGGAUGCAGUACAUUCAGUUGUGUGAGCUUAUUUAUAUAUAACGAAUAAUCCACAUCGACACGAACGAUUAUUUUGACAACCGGUCACGAGGAAACGGCCUAGUCCCAUACGGUAGCACCUAAGCAGGGUGCAGGCGUUGAGAAAAAUGCCAGAGGUUUCCAGACCCGCAUAAAGCAAUGACAGACUGAUGUGUGGAAGGACACAUGCGCGCGCAGUCACAAAACGUUACAGGUUCUUUAGAAUAAUCCAAAUACGCUCCUUCAGAAGAUAUUUCAAGACUUACCACAGUUACGUGUCUGAUUUCUACGCAAAAUCUGAUUGGAUGUCAUUGUUUAGCAAGAACCACAUUACGG